Saccostrea cuccullata (small rock oyster) is the source of this 1044-nucleotide long non-coding RNA. RefSeq lists it as uncharacterized. The record is from RefSeq and is a predicted model, not a curated record. The transcript has 3 exons. NCBI's taxonomy places the organism in Eukaryota, Metazoa, Mollusca, Bivalvia, Ostreida, Ostreidae.
CACACCAGUUUUGAGCCGGGAAUUUUGGUUGCGUCUACAGCUAUCAGUCCCAAUAGAUAAAGACAGAGUUGAGCAGCUGACCUAUUCAACCAUUGCCUCAAUACCUCCACUUAAUCUUAGAGAUUGCACUGAAGUCAACGAUGUUAACAACAAUUCUUAUCCUGCUGAAGAAACUUCAGGCAGCAGAACAGUUUGACAGUGUCCAAGCAAUAGCCAAUGAACUUACAGAAUAAAUGGCUGUAACUGAAACUCAUUAAGUUCAAUAUUUUUGUACCGUAGUUUUACUUAUAUUGUUUAUAUAAAUAAUACCUGUACUCAGAUGUGUAUCCCUCAUAUAAUUACAUUUAAUUCAUUGAAUUUAUUAAAGUGGGAAUUGAUCAACUUCGAGGGUUUCAACAAACUAUAUCAUCUUGUUGAGAUGUUAUUUCAUUGAUAUACUGUAGUGUAUUUUUCAAUAGAACAUUAUAGAAUGAAAGUACAUCUUUUCGGAAUUUUUUUUUAUUUGUUCUCAAACAUGGUACAUGUACUGGGGUAAAAUAAUUUUUCAGAAUGUUAAUGUAGAAUUUUGAAUGUUUUUUUGUUUCUUUUUCUAUAAAACUUCCAAUACAGUUUUAUAGAUUUACAGUUAUAUUGCAUAUAAUAUUACCUGUACUUGAAUUUAUUCCAUUGUGGUUAAGUAAAUCCAUUCACAUUAAAAUGGUAUGAAAAUUGCAUCAAUUCCUGUUUUAAUUUUUUAGCAAUUGUGACCUUAUGCUUCAAAGGAUUAUUAGAAGUUUAAAAUUAUUAAAUGUGGUCUUAUAAGUACAUUUCAACCCGAUGUCUUCCAAAGUUCCAAACAUACAUAUCUGUGGAGCUCAUUACUUUAUCAAUCCUCAUACUCUCCUUCAACUAUACUUACUGAAGAUAUUUGAUAUUCAAAGUAUAUUUAAAUACAGAUGUGUACAUUAUAUUGUAAUGGAAUACUUUAUAUGCACCUGGAUGCAUAGAUAAGGGUCGUGCCGGUAUAUUGUCUUGUCCUAUUUGUCUGUUUAUCUGUUUGUCUGA